CGCCGCCGCCCACCGCGAGGGAGGCGGCCGGGCGCUCCGAGGGGCAAAAAAGGAGAAAAUGUGGAGAUACAUUUACACUUAACUCGCACAAGGAGCUUGAACGAUAGCAACAGCCUGUAAGAUGAAAGCGACAGCCACCAUCAGUCA
This is a long non-coding RNA of Penaeus chinensis, 147 nucleotides long. RefSeq lists it as uncharacterized. The record is from RefSeq and is a predicted model, not a curated record. The transcript is spliced from 2 exons. NCBI's taxonomy places the organism in Eukaryota, Metazoa, Arthropoda, Malacostraca, Decapoda, Penaeidae.